GUACUUGCUUCGGCAGUACAUAUACUAAAAUUGGAACGAUACAGAGAAGAUUAGCAUGGCCCCUGCGCAAGGAUAAAUCAGCCAAGAUAGUAAAUAUAUCAAUAUAA
Anneissia japonica is the source of this 107-nucleotide small nuclear RNA. Lineage: Eukaryota; Metazoa; Echinodermata; Crinoidea; Comatulida; Comatulidae. The record is from RefSeq and is a predicted model, not a curated record.